Molecule: ribosomal RNA, 253 nt
Filed under: uncultured bacterium
Lineage: Bacteria
Description: partial 16S ribosomal RNA
Rfam family: Bacterial small subunit ribosomal RNA
Source: RNAcentral
UACAGAGGGUGCGAGCGUUGUCCGGAAUCACUGGGCGUAAAGGGUGAGUAGGUGGCUUGUUAAGCGUGUGGUGAAAGCCUGGGGCUCAACCCCAGGUCUGCCGUGCGAACUGACAGGCUUGAGCAGAGUAGAGGCGAGUGGAAUUUCGGGUGUAGCGGUGGAAUGCGUAGAUAUCCGAAAGAACACCGGUGGCGAAGGCGACUCGCUGGGCUUUUGCUGACACUGAAUCACGACAGCGUGGGGAGCAAACAGG